This 2110-nucleotide long non-coding RNA is filed under the name Lupinus angustifolius (narrow-leaved blue lupine). RNAcentral's name for it is "long non-coding RNA (LANG_LNC003193)". Lineage: Eukaryota; Viridiplantae; Streptophyta; Magnoliopsida; Fabales; Fabaceae. The record is from RNAcentral.
UUUCUCAUUCAUUAAAGCAUUUCAUCCUCAAAUUAGGUUUUCAAUAUGCGAUUCAGAAAUCUAUAUUUCUUUCGCUCUCAGAUCUAAACAAGGUUCUAGUACCAAUUUCUAAUUUUGGUUUCCACUUUGAUCUUGAUUUUACGAUUUUGAAACAAAGUUGUUUUAUGAUUGUUUCACAGAAUUCAAUCAUGCGUCAAUAUUUGCUUAGGUUUUGAUAUUUUCAACUUGAUAAGGAAAUCAAAGAUGCAUAUUUUGAGUUCUUUCCCAACCAUUCCCACAACAAAUUUUUGAUUCUUAUGCUAUUAGAUUGAAAUAAGUUUCAAGUACCGAUUUUAUUUACAGUUUUCGUCUUUGAUUACAAAAUUUUGAAAGUAGGUAUGCAGUUCGAUUUUCACACAAUUCGAGACUUUCUCUUCUUUGAUUGCAUUGUUGCAACCAUUUUCUUUAAACCCUAUUUUUUUUACAGUGUUAACUUUAUUAUAAGCAAUGAAUUUGGGAAGGAAAUGGAUUUGUUCUGCAACUAUGAUAGUUGGAGCCUACUCACUGUUUGCUAGAAUGAUUGAACCUCAAUUUGAUACACCUAUGUUUUGGUUCUAGGAGUUGUGGACUUGUGGCUAGCUAUGAUAGUUACUUGAAAUUUGGGGGUAGAUUUCCUUUGGUAGUGCUGACUUUCUUUUGUUAUCACUAGUAAUCAAAAUAUUUUUGUCCUCUUAUAUUAUUUUAGUUGGUUGAUGUAUGGUCAAUGGUAGUCACAAUGUGGUUUUAAGGUUGUAAGAAGGUGAUGAAAGGGUUUUGAGUUUUGGGUUGGGUUUGGAAUUUGAAAGUGCUAUUGUGGCAAGUGAAUGAUUGGUGAAAGGGGAAAGAGUGAGGAUGAGUUGUUGUUAUAGUUGAGUGUAGCUAAGAAGGAGACAUGCAUAGGAAAACAGAGCCAUUGAAAAUAGCAUGUGUGAGUGAAUGAGUAUUAAGGUGUGGAUUGUACUUAUUAUAUAGAGCAGAUAAUAAAUGUGAAUUUAUAAAAGAAUGGUGAAAUCGAAGUGAAGUUCAAAAAGAAGAUGCAUUAACGUUUGUUGAGUGGGUAUAUUCAUACAUGAUUUCAUUUUGUCACAAUCUUUACAAUUGCAUGAUUUAACUUUGUCAGAGUCCAUACAAUUGCUGAUUUUUUCAAUUUUAUCAUAAAUUCUAAUAGAAAUAUAGAAUUGGGAUUAGGAUGUGGUAUUUGUUAGUUUAAAAACAAGUCUCAAAUUACUCAAUUGGUCUUCAAUGCAGAAAAGGAAAAAGCCUUAUGAGAACAUAUGUGUCUAUUCCAAUGGUAGAUGGGUACGUGACAAGAAAGGCCCUCUAUAUAAUGAUACCACUUGUAGAAAUAUCAAAAUCAAACAAAGCCAAAAUUGUAUAAUCAAUGGAAGGCAUGAUUCAAAUUAUCUUUACUAGAGAUGGAAACCAAGUCAAUGCAAUCUUCCAAGGUUUGAACCUCACUCUUUUCUCCAACUCAUUAAGAAUAAGCAUGUAGCUUUUGUUGGAGACUUUAUUUCUAGGAACCAAAUAGAGUCCCUUCUUUGCAUGUUAGACACUUCUUCAACCCCUAAAUGUUUCAAACAACAUGGUUCUGGUAGGUGCAACUUUGCUUCUUACAAUGCAAACCUUUUCUUACUUGUGGAUUUGCUACCCUUGCAGGUGUUAUCAAGGAAGCAAUCAAUACAUUAAGGAGUAAUAAUGUUAAUGCAUUUGUGUUGGAUCUAAGAGAUAAUAGGUGAUUUAACACUUAACAUUUCCAAUUUUAUACUUUCACCGAGACUAGACUUCUCAGCUUAAAUUUGUUGCAGUGUUGGUCUUUUCCCAAAAGGAAUUCAGAUUGCCAAAUUUUGGUAAGAUAUGCCUACCAAUUAAUUAAAUUUUUACAUUUUGUAUUAUCUUUGACUGGUGGAGCUUGAAAUUAGCUGCAUAGUUUUACUAUCUUUUAAGAUACAAUUAUUUCAUGUAUUUUCAGUUAGGGCCACUCCAUUUCUAAUAAAUUGGAGGCGUUGGUACUAUACUUGAAAGUGGUCAAUAUCCUAAUGUUGCUCAAAUUUUCAUGGCCUCUUCUACAAUUGUGAAUGAUAGCACAGGUGAA